AAUGGUGAAAAGUACCCCGGGAGGGGAGUGAAAUAGUACCUGAAACCGUGUGCUUACAAGCCGUUGGAGCCUUUUGGGGUGACAGCGUGCCUUUUGAAGAAUGAGCCUGCGAGUUAGUGUUAUGUCGCGAGGUUAACCCGUGUGGGGUAUCCGUAGCGAAAGCGAGUCUGAAUAGGGCGUUUGAGUGGCAUGACCUAGACCCGAAGCGGAGUGAUCUAUCCAUGGCCAGGUUGAAGCGACGGUAAGACGUCGUGGAGGACCGAACCCACUUCAGUUGAAAAUGGAGGGGAUGAGCUGUGGAUAGGGGUGAAAGGCCAAUCAAACUCUGUGAUAGCUGGUUCUCCCCGAAAUGCAUUUAGGUGCAGCGUUACGUGUUUCUUGCCGGAGGUAGAGCUACUGGAUGGCCGAUGGGCCUUCACGGGUUACUGACGUCAGCUAAACUCCGAAUGCCGGUAAGUGAGAGCGUAGCAGUGAGACAGUGGGGGAUAAGCUUCAUUGUCGAGAGGGAAACAGCCCAGACCACCAACUAAGGCCCCUAAGCGUGUGCUAAGUGGGAAAGGAUGUGGAGUUGCUUAGACAACCAGGAGGUUGGCUUAGAAGCAGCCAUCCUUGAAAGAGUGCGUAACAGCUCACUGGUCAAGUGAUUCUGCGCCGAUAAUGUAGCGGGGCUCAAGUACACCGCCGAAGUUGUGGCAAUGAUCUUUUUGGAUUGUUGGGUAGGGGAGCGUCGUGUGGCCGUUGAAGCUGCGGUGUAAACCAGUGGUGGAGGCUAUGCGAGUGAGAAUGCAGGCAUGAGUAGCGAAAGAUGAGUGAGAAACUCAUCCGCCGGAUGAUCAAGGGUUCCAGGGUCAAGUUAAUCUGCCCUGGGUUAGUCGGGGCCUAAGGCGAGGCCGACAGGCGUAGUCGAUGGAUAACGGGUUGAUAUUCCCGUACCGGUGAAGAACCGCCCAUACUGAUAUUGUGAUGCUAACCAUGCGAAGCAUGAUGUGCAGGCUUUUGUUUGUGUGUUGUGUGGGUUGUGGGACCCGAUCUUUGGAGGUAAACGUGUUAACAGGUGUGACGCAGGAAGGUAGCCAAGCCACGCGAUGGUUGUCGUGGUCUAAGCGUGUAGGGUUGUCGGUUGUUAAAUGCGCCGGCUGUGUGCCUGAGACGUGAUGGGACCCUGUUUUUGGGGGAUUUGGUGAUCCUAUGCUGCCGAGAAAAGCAUCGGCGUGAGGUUUUAGCCGCCCGUACCCUAAACCGACACAGGUGAUCAGGUAGAGAAUACUAAGGCGAUCGAGAGAAUCAUGGUUAAGGAACUCGGCAAAAUGCCCCCGUAACUUCGGGAGAAGGGGGACCUUGAGCGUGAUGGGCACUUGCUGCCUGGAGCGUGUAUGGGUCGCAGAGACCAGGGGGAAGCGACUGUUUAUCAAAAACACAGGUCCGUGCGAAGUCGUAAGACGAUGUAUACGGACUGACUCCUGCCCGGUGCUGGAAGGUUAAGAGGAUUGGUUAGCUCUUUUGAGCGAAGCUGAGAAUUUAAGCCCCAGUAAACGGCGGUGGUAACUAUAACCAUCCUAAGGUAGCGAAAUUCCUUGUCGGGUAAGUUCCGACCUGCACGAAUGGAGUAACGACUUCCCUACUGUCUCAACCAUGAACUCGGCGAAAUUGCAGUACGAGUAAAGAUGCUCGUUUCGCGCAGCAGGACGGAAAGACCCCGUGACCUUUACUAUAGUUUGGUAUUGGUGUUUGGUUUGGCUUGUGUAGGAUAGGUGGGAGACUGUGAAGCAUGGACGCUAGUUUGUGUGGAGUCGUUGUUGAAAUACCACUCUGGUCAAUCUGGAUGUCUAACUUCGGGCCAUGAUCUGGUUCAGGGACAGUGCCUGAUGGGUAGUUUAACUGGGGCGGUUGCCUCCUAAAGUGUAACGGAGGCGCCCAAAGGUUCCCUCAGCCUGGUUGGCAAUCAGGUGUUGAGUGUAAGUGCACAAGGGAGCUUGACUGUGAGACUGGCAGGUCGAGCAGGGACGAAAGUCGGGACUAGUGAUCCGGCGGUACGUUGUGGAACGGCCGUCGCUCAACGGAUAAAAGGUACCUCGGGGAUAACAGGCUGAUCUUGCCCAAGAGUCCAUAUCGACGGCAUGGUUUGGCACCUCGAUGUCGGCUCGUCGCAUCCUGGGGCUGGAGUCGGUCCCAAGGGUUGGGCUGUUCGCCCAUUAAAGCGGUACGCGAGCUGGGUUCAGAACGUCGUGAGACAGUUCGGUCCCUAUCCGCUGCGCGCGUUGGAAAUUUGAGAAAGGCUGUCCUUAGUACGAGAGGACCGGGACGGACGAACCUCUGGUAUGUCAGUUGUACCGCCAGGUGCAUGGCUGAUUGGCUACGUUCGGGAGGGAUAACCGCUGAAAGCAUCUAAGCGGGAAGCCUGUUUCGAGAUGAGAUUUCCUGGCACUUUUU
RNAcentral lists this ribosomal RNA (2430 nucleotides) under human metagenome. Its description in RNAcentral is "bacterial LSU rRNA". It matches the Rfam family "Bacterial large subunit ribosomal RNA", at positions 510 to 2825 of the family's 2925-position model. The record is from RNAcentral.